RNAcentral lists this transfer RNA (86 nucleotides) under Companilactobacillus farciminis. RNAcentral describes it as "Lactobacillus farciminis tRNA-Ile". The stretch from base 12 to 86 matches the Rfam family "tRNA". From Rfam's summary of the family: Transfer RNA (tRNA) molecules are approximately 80 nucleotides in length. Lineage: Bacteria; Bacillati; Bacillota; Bacilli; Lactobacillales; Lactobacillaceae. The record is from RNAcentral.
GGGCGCAUUUCGGGCCUAUAGCUCAGCUGGUUUAGAGCGCACGCCUGAUAAGCGUGAGGUCGAUGGUUCAAGUCCAUUUAGGCCCA